GGUCCCACAGCUCCCCAAGACAGUGCCACCAGUCUGGUAACUGGGCUUUCUGGCUCCUGGCUUUUGUUUUGUUUUUAUUUUCAGGCAGGAGUUCACUACACACUUGAGGCUAGCCUGGAACUUACUAUAUCGCCAAGACUGGGCUCAAACUCCAAAUCCUCUCACCUCUGACUGGAAUGCUGGGAUUCUAGGAAUGUGCCACCACGCCUAGUGUGUCUGGAGCCUCUUAACCGUUGUGCUAAACUGUUUGGGGAAGCAAACUGAUUCUGUGACUCAGUUCUCAAUAAAUGAUCCAAUGUACGGCUGUGAGUGAGAUGCGCACACGGAAUUUCCCGUGUGUAAGGCUCAGUCUGGACCUCUUCAGCUAGACCGACAUGUGCUCUCGGGAUCAUCUCACGAUACGGCUGCCAUUUCUGUCUCCACCGUACAGAUGGAGUGGGAGGAGGUGGAGGAGAUUCCCCCAGACCAUCAAACAGCAAACUCAUCUUCCUUACCACCUUCAGCUGCCUCUGUAUCUCUCUCCUCUUUGUCUCCAUCUACUUUAUCUACAGACGCACUCAGCAAGGUUCAUCACAUGAAGAGCCCCCCAAGAGUGACACCGAGUGACCCCAUGUGUAAAUAUGAACAUGAAGCCUGCUGGGGUGAGUGACACCUGGAAUCCAACACACAGGAGGCAGAAGCGGAAGACUGUGAAUUUGAGGUCAACCUGAGCUGCAUAUGGACAGCAUAUCCCAACACACAUACACAGAGAUGCACACAGAGAUGCACACAGACAGACAUACACAGACACAGAAACACAGAUACAUACACACAGGUACACAUACAAGCACGCAGAGAGACACAUACACACACGCACAUGCUUUGCUUCCAAAGUUCCGUCACUCUGGUUUGCAAGGCAUUGUUUUAAUAUAGGAAGGAAUGAAAGUGUGAACAUUUGGAUUAUCUAUAUAAAUAUCCUUAGCUCAUGAGCAGCUUUUGGAUAACUUUCUUUUUUUAUGAUUUUUGGUGUUUGGGAUUGUUUUUUUUUUUUUU
Molecule: long non-coding RNA, 1032 nt
Organism: Peromyscus eremicus (cactus mouse)
Lineage: Eukaryota; Metazoa; Chordata; Mammalia; Rodentia; Cricetidae
Exons: 3
Source: RefSeq, a predicted model, not a curated record